GCCGGGCGUGGUGAUGCACGCCUGUAAUCCCAGCUACUCGGGAGGCUGAGGCAGAAGAAUCGCUUGAACCUGGGAGAUGGAGGUUGCAGUGAGCAGAGAUCGCACCACUGCACUCCAGCCUGGGUAACAGAGUGAGACUCUGUCUCAA
Molecule: unclassified non-coding RNA, 148 nt
Organism: Pongo abelii (Sumatran orangutan)
Lineage: Eukaryota; Metazoa; Chordata; Mammalia; Primates; Hominidae
Rfam family: Metazoan signal recognition particle RNA
About the family: The signal recognition particle (SRP) is a universally conserved ribonucleoprotein. It is involved in the co-translational targeting of proteins to membranes.
Source: Ensembl